UACGAAGGGGGCUAGCGUUGCUCGGAAUCACUGGGCGUAAAGCGCACGUAGGCGGAUUGCUAAGUCAGGGGUGAAAUCCUGGAGCUCAACUCCAGAACUGCCUUUGAUACUGGCAACCUUGAGUCCGGGAGAGGUGAGUGGAACUGCGAGUGUAGAGGUGAAAUUCGUAGAUAUUGGGAAGAACACCAGUGGCGAAGGCGGCUACCUGGUCCGGAUCUGACGCUGAGGCGCGAAAGCGUGGGGAGCAAACAGG
Molecule: ribosomal RNA, 253 nt
Filed under: uncultured bacterium
Lineage: Bacteria
Description: partial 16S ribosomal RNA
Rfam family: Bacterial small subunit ribosomal RNA
Source: RNAcentral